RNAcentral lists this ribosomal RNA (550 nucleotides) under Retama raetam. RNAcentral's name for it is "SSU rRNA". It matches the Rfam family "Eukaryotic small subunit ribosomal RNA", at positions 548 to 1097 of the family's 1831-position model. Lineage: Eukaryota; Viridiplantae; Streptophyta; Magnoliopsida; Fabales; Fabaceae. The record is from RNAcentral.
UUGGAGGGCAAGUCUGGUGCCAGCAGCCGCGGUAAUUCCAGCUCCAAUAGCGUUUAUUAAAGUUGUUGCAGUUAAAAAGCUCGUAGUUGAACUUCGGGGUUCACCCAUUGGUCAGGCUUAAUUGUCUGUACUGGUGAGAUGAAUCUCUACCUUCUGAGGAACUUUCAUGCCAUUUAUUUGGUGUGAUGGGAAAUCAGGACUGUUACUUUGAAAAAAUUAGAGUGUUUAAAGCAGGCUAACGUCUGAAUACAUUAGCAUGGAAUAAUGAAAUAGGACGGAUUGAUUCUAUUUCGUUGGUUUCUAGGAUCACCGUAAUGAUUAAUAGGGAUAGUUGGGGGCAUUAGUAUUCAAUUGUCAGAGGUGAAAUUCUUGGAUUUAUUGAAGACUAACUACUGCGAAAGCAUUCGCCAAGGAUGUUUUCAUUAAUCAAGAACGAAAGUUAGGGGAUCGAAGACGAUCAGAUACCGUCGUAGUCUUAACCAUAAACUAUGCCGACUAGGGAUCGGACGAAGUUAAUUUUAUAAUGACGCGUUCGGCACCUUACGGGAAA